GGAGUGAUCAAUUUAAUAUGUAGCCAAUCGGCAAAUGGAUGGAAGUGUCCAUCACCCAACCAAAGUGGGUAUUUAAGGUCCCGCAUCAGGGCCAAAAGACCAGUCUGCACCCACAUCCAGCAGGCCACUGAAGCCAAGCCAAUGUCGUAGCCAUAGAGGGCUUCCAGCUACACAACUGGAGUUGAAGUUGAUGUACAUGAUCUGCAUGUAGCUGUACAGGCUGUUCUUUAACUUUAUCCAGGUUAGCUCUUGAUUCGUUGUGUUCUUGAUCCACAAUUAAAUCCCAGAUAUUGAGUACUGUAUUUUUGGAAACAAUGUUUACUCAAUUCCAAUUGAUAAGUCAAGACAGUGUAUUUAUUUGAUACUGUUUUCCAAGCUGUGCUGUAGCUAAUGCACUAUGUUAUUCUGAUCUUAUGGCACAGUCAAUGUUUUGCUACUGGUAGGCUGUUCCACAGACGGACUACUUCCGUUAUCGUAAACAGAGGCCCCCAUAUACUCCACACACAGCGCCCGUUAUUACUGCACAUUCCUAUGGGCACACACAACUUCCAGCGAGUUCGUGUCCGUGGUACACACUUCAACGCUAAAACAAAUCGGGCUAAAUAUGAUCGGAACACUUCGGGUAAAGAUUUGCGCGUUCUGAUUGGCCGGGUGGCUUAGAAACGUCAUCAUCGGAAAAGAGUAUGCUUCCAGCUUGCUUCGGGUCCAUUCGCGUACAAAAUCGACCACGGGUUGCAACUUUUGCGAUCAAAAACAUUUUUUCUCGUUCAUAAAGCGAUCCAUAAUCAACGUGAAUCACCAAGCGACAAGCUUUUCUGUGGUCCUCGUCUUGUGACAGUGUUCCAGUAUGGAUACCACCAGUGAGCCUGAAGAUGAAAAAGUCACCAAACAAGGAGGGUUGUGGACAACGGCAGAAAGAGUUGAGGAGGAGACAAAGAAACUGCAUCACCAGAAUGCAUCAGACGAAGACAUUCGAAGGGCAAUGUAUAGCCAACUGAAUUUUCACCAAAAAAUACUUGCCUCCAAAACCCCACGUCGGGAAUGUCUCCAACUAGGAACGACAGACGGCGGAAAAAGAAGAGACUUUACAGGAAACGAAAUGAAAAACCACCUCAUUGAAGUCCUUCAACAUAAUAAUCUCAUCCUAACAUCCGACCCAGAGGAACUGUCGGCACAAAACGAGGCCAGUGCUACCAGGACGUCGCAGAUUGAGUACUUCCCCGAAGAAGAGAGAGAUACAUCAUUCUUGUCCCAAAAAAAUAAACUGAUCAAAAAAAUAGAAGCAGAGCGAGUAAAGAGAGCUGUAAUGAAUUCCAAGAAGUAUCUUGACCGCCUUCUCCAUGAGCCAAAGCUAUUAGUAGGAAAGACUGUGGAGCACAAACUGUGUGAGACGGCAGCCGAUACACCUCAGUGGUACACUGGCACAAUAUCUGCAAUAACAAAAACACCAAAAGACCCAGCCAAGACUGUAUUUUCCAUCAAAUACAGAAACGAAGAUGUGGAGUAGGAGUUCCCAUUACUGAUGGACCUGAAAAGAAAUGAACUCAUUCUGUUGGAAGCACUUUAAAAUUGUCACGGUACAUGUUUAUGCUCUCUGUCUGUGUGUGGAUGCGCUUCCUGUCCAUUUGUUUGCCGCCCUCGAUCCACACCUCUCCAAAAUAGUAUUGGCUUGGUAAUUAACAUAAUUAACAUAUAUAUAGUGAUUGAUUAUGUCAAUUAAAUUAUUGAUGCAAGUCCCAAUCUUGGCAAUUGACAGAUUUGAUUAAAUCAGUAUCUCUUAUCAAUCUAUUUUUCAACAAUAAUUGGGGAAAAAUAAGGUUCCCUUAACAAUCAACAUUUUUGCAUAAAUUAUGCAAAUUAGGGGAUUUCAAUAUAAACUAAUUAUCUGUAGUUAAGCAGGUUUGAUUAUUACAAUGUCUUGCAUCAUUUAAUUAAAGUAUUUGUCAAGAUAAAUUGGAGAAAAAUGAGUUUUCCCUUGAAAAUUGACCGUUUUUGCAUAAAUUAUUAAUUUAUUAUGCAAAUGAGGUAAUUAAAAUAUAAAUUAAUUAUCUGUCCUUGUACAGAUAUUAAUAACUGUUGUUUGUACCAACUUUGGGCCAUCCAGGAUAGAGUUGAGCAAAGAUAUAUAAUCAAAAGUAUUGUCGGUGCCAAAUUAGAAAUAAAGAAAAACAAAGGAUAACCUUUGACCUGGCGAUGAAUUUUUACCCUGUUUUCAAUUAUCAAAACCGACUGUAGCUUCGCAAUGCAAAAUCCGAUUUGAAAAAAAUAAACAGAUUUCUUCUAGUCUAUAACCACUCUUUCAAUUGACACUGAUUUCAAAUCGAUGUGAGCUUUAAAAAAAGGGUUGAAACUGCCUACUACUGGUACUUUAAACACCUUGAAUUGAGGACAAGGACAAAUCUCUGUCUAGCCAAAACACUGUUAUGUAACCUGUCACAUUCUAUU
Molecule: long non-coding RNA, 2445 nt
Filed under: Patiria miniata (bat star)
Lineage: Eukaryota; Metazoa; Echinodermata; Asteroidea; Valvatida; Asterinidae
Description: uncharacterized LOC119742713
Source: RNAcentral